UUAUAUUAGGUUGAUGCAAAAGUAAUUGUGUUUUUUUUCCAUUACUUUUAAUGGCAAAAACUGCAAUAACUUCUGCACCAGCCUAAUACAUUU
Molecule: microRNA precursor, 93 nt
Filed under: Chlorocebus sabaeus (green monkey)
Lineage: Eukaryota; Metazoa; Chordata; Mammalia; Primates; Cercopithecidae
Description: miRNA (ENSCSAG00000023752.1)
Source: RNAcentral